Molecule: ribosomal RNA, 465 nt
Filed under: uncultured bacterium
Lineage: Bacteria
Description: partial 16S ribosomal RNA
Rfam family: Bacterial small subunit ribosomal RNA
Source: RNAcentral
CCUACGGGAGGCAGCAGUGGGGAAUAUUGCGCAAUGGGCGAAAGCCUGACGCAGCGACGCCGCGUGAGGGAUGAAGGUCUUCGGAUCGUAAACCUCUGUCAGCAGGGAAGAACGGUCACUGUGCUAAUCAGCAGUGAAUUGACGGUACCUGCAAAGGAAGCACCGGCUAACGCCGUGCCAGCAGCCGCGGUAAUACGGAGGGUGCGAGCGUUAAUCGGAAUUACUGGGCGUAAAGCGCUCGUAGGCGGUAUGUCAAGUCAAGGGUGAAAUCCCCGCGCUCAACGUGGGAACUGCCUUUGAAACUGGCAAACUGGGGUGUGUGAGAGGAUAGUGGAAUUCCAGGUGUAGGAGUGAAAUCCGUAGAUAUCUGGAGGAACAUCAGUGGCGAAGGCGACUAUCUGGCACAUAACUGACGCUGAGGAGCGAAAGCGUGGGUAGCAAACAGGAUUAGAUACCCUUGUAGUC